GACGUAGGGCGCGAGCGUUGUCCGGAUUUAUUGGGCGUAAAGAGCUCGUAGGCGGCUUGUUGCGUCGACUGUGAAAACCCGCGGCUCAACCGUGUGGCUUGCAGUCGAUACGGGCAGGCUAGAAUUCGGUAGGGGAGACUGGAAUUCCUGGUGUAGCGGUGAAAUGCGCAGAUAUCGGGAAGAACACCCGUGGCGAAGGCGGUUCUCUGGGACGGUACUGACGCUGAGACGCGAAAGCGUGGGGAGCGAACAGG
RNAcentral lists this ribosomal RNA (254 nucleotides) under uncultured bacterium. RNAcentral describes it as "partial 16S ribosomal RNA". It matches the Rfam family "Bacterial small subunit ribosomal RNA", at positions 524 to 776 of the family's 1533-position model. The record is from RNAcentral.